Triticum aestivum (bread wheat) is the source of this 770-nucleotide long non-coding RNA. RefSeq lists it as uncharacterized. The transcript has 3 exons. NCBI's taxonomy places the organism in Eukaryota, Viridiplantae, Streptophyta, Magnoliopsida, Poales, Poaceae. The record is from RefSeq and is a predicted model, not a curated record.
GGCGGACCCAUAUAUACCAUUCCCCUCCUAGAUCUAGGGUUAGCAAAAGCAAAGACAGGAAUGGACAUUGAUAGAGCUUUGCUCAUCUACCCUCCCCCCUUGUGGUAAUCCUCUAUGUUGGAGAAGAAUCCAUUGGAGUAGAAGGCCACCCACUUGGUGAGACUCUAAGGAGUACAAGGGGCCAAUCAGUUUCACACACAGGCCCAAUAAUGGGGCACCCCUUUCGGCUUUGGGGCCAAGCCUCCCUUGCGGCUAGGGUUUGGGGCCACCCCUUUGUGAUGAGGACAUCACUACUACAGUAACACCCACAACUCCUGCUUCUACAUAUAAUGGACCAAUUACUAGAGCUCGUGCACGCCAACUAAAUUAUCAGGACCCAACAUGGACAAGAAGGAUGAACAUUGAAGCAUGAUUAAGCACGGAGAUGAUGGCGUGCGCAAGGGCAACGAGAACAGAGUUUCUGGUGGAGUUUUUCAGCACUUUGGUGCCACCAUGAUGACAUCCAAGGACAUGGACAAAAUAAAAAAGAUGGCCUUUCAUAAAUUAAGCCCAUAACUUAAUAUAGGUGUCGCGUCACCUCAUGUUUGGGCCAGGCCUAUGUAAUGUCGAAAUACAAAUCGGUAGGAUAUUUUUAGAGUCCUUAUUGUAGUGGAAGUGACUCAGGAGGUGUUUUAGUACUGCCUUGCCAAGGGUGGGCAAAAUCCCCUCUCCUUUCCCCAAUAAAUACAACCCUUAAGGCAACGUUUAGACUUGGGUUUUGUUUAGAUUAA